UACGGAGGGUGCGAGCGUUGUCCGGAAUCAUUGGGCGUAAAGGGCGCGUAGGCGGCCCGGUCAGUCCGUGGUGAAAGCGCGGGGCUCAACCCCGCGUCGGCCAUGGAUACUGCUGGGCUCGAGCACUGUAGAGGCAGGCGGAAUUCCGGGUGUAGCGGUGGAAUGCGUAGAGAUCCGGAAGAACACCGGUGGCGAAGGCGGCCUGCUGGGCAGUAGCUGACGCUGAGGCGCGACAGCGUGGGGAGCAAACAGG
RNAcentral lists this ribosomal RNA (253 nucleotides) under uncultured bacterium. RNAcentral's name for it is "partial 16S ribosomal RNA". It matches the Rfam family "Bacterial small subunit ribosomal RNA", at positions 524 to 776 of the family's 1533-position model. The record is from RNAcentral.